UACGGAAGGGGCAAGCGUUGUUCGGAAUCAUUGGGCGUAAAGGGCGCGCAGGUGGCUCUGUAUGUCUGCCGUGAAAGCAUACAGCUCAACUGUAUUGUGUCGGUAGAAACUGCAGGACUUGAGGCUGGGAGGGGCUGGUGGAAUUCCCUGUGUAGCGGUGAAAUGCGUAGAGAUGGGGGAGAACACUCGUGGCGAAGGCGGCCAGCUAGACCAGUUCUGACACUGAGGCGCGACAGCGUGGGGAGCAAACAGG
This 253-nucleotide ribosomal RNA is filed under the name uncultured bacterium. RNAcentral describes it as "partial 16S ribosomal RNA". It matches the Rfam family "Bacterial small subunit ribosomal RNA", at positions 524 to 776 of the family's 1533-position model. The record is from RNAcentral.